GUGGACGGACAGAGACCCAUCAGGCGGGGAGGGCCUGGGCGGUGGCGGCGCCCCCUUGGUGGGGCCGCAGAGCGGAGGAGCAGCAGCUGCCACCGGCCGGAAGCCUGCUGGCUCGGCCGAGAACAAUGGCCGCCUGUCACUGUGGACAGCUGUCUCCCAGGCUAAGGCAAGGCUGCGCUCCCAGGGAAUGCGGGCAGGGAGCCAGGGCGGAGGGCAGAGGACGAGAGCGAGGAGGAGAGCGCGGGCACCCACUGAUGCUGGCGGCCUCGGGUAUUCGCUUUCUCUCUCUUCUCCCACCUUGUUCCUUUUCCCCGGAUGCACGCAUGCACUAGUAAUGCCGAAUUUAGAACAACAGGGAAAGGAAAGGAAAUGGCAAAGGAAGGGAAAGGAAAUGGCCGACAGGAAAUGGCAAGGAAGGGAAAAUCCACUGCAACUCUGCUGCCUGCUGGCCUGUCCAGGGACAACUAUUCAGCUGGGUGGGACGUUGCUACCCCCUUGUGGCACCCCUGCUGCAGCCUGCGAUUCUUACGCCCUGUAUUUCUGGUCUAACAUCAACCAACACUUUGGCGAAAUAUAAUAAAAUGAAAUUACUAGGAGAAUGAAAGAAAGUCACAUGAAAUAAAAGCCCUGCUUUUUAAUGAUUAUAUCCUCUGUGAAAUGGAUCUGCAGCCCUCUCCAUUUCUGGGUUCCCCUGGCCACACCAUGCUUAUGGCUGUCCCAGGAGCAGGCUGACAGACAAGCUUCCACCAGCAUCUAACCAUGGGGCUCAUGGACACCGUAGAGCGUCUCCACCCAACAGAAUCCUGACUUGGGGGCAGCUGAGGCAGGGGGCCCGAGCGUUGAGGGGACCACGCUGCUGCCCCGAGACCUGCUGGCAUGCCACCUGGCCAACCCUGACUUCGCCUGCCCGGGCGCAUGUUAACUGAGUUACAACACUGAGGGCACUUGAACCUGGCUGCAUGACCAGAGAUCGAUCACCUGUGAGAUCCUCUGUGAAACGGGAUAAGCAUCUUUAAUUUCCUGGGCUGUUCUGGAACUUCAGUCAGACAGGACACAGGAGGGUGUCUGCACCACCCACCCCUGCCUCGUGGGCUGACUGGGAACUAUAUGACCUGUGGAGGGCUGUGACCGCCACCCUCCACCUCACUGGGGCCGCAAGCCUUCUCUGCUCCUUGAUUCUGCUGCCGUUGUGAGCGAGGGCCCCAGCACCCUUAGGGACCCCAAUCAAUGGGCUUCCCACAAUGUCGUCACCCUUUGUUGCCUGCUAAGCAGCCCUGGGGCCACCUCAGAAGAAACAGAACUCACAGGUCACAGGGGCCUUUUCCUCCUCGUCAUCGUCCUCCUCCUCUUCUUCUUCCUCCCUGGGCAACUUCCUGAAUUCGGAAAGAUGCCUGUAGUUCCAGCUACUCAGGAGGCUGAGGCAGAAGAAUUGCUUGAACCUGGGAGGUGGAGGUUGCAGUGAGCCAAGAUUGUGCCACUGCACUCCAGCCUAGGCGACAGAGCAAGAUGCUGUCUCCAAAAAAAAAAAACAGGUUGGGGGAGGAAUUUGGACACAGACACACACACACAGAGAGAAUGCCAGGGGAACAUGAGGCAGAGACCUGGGGGAUGAACCUACAAGCCAGGGAAUGCCAAGGGUUGCCCACAAACCACCAGAAGGAGCCAGUUCUGUCAAUAUCCUGAUCUCAGAUGACAGCCUCCAGCACCAUGAAGCACACUUCUGUUGUUUAAGCUGCUGGGUCUGUGGUCAUUUGUACAGCAGCUCCAGGAAGCUGAUCCUGGGGUGUGGGACCCAUGGGCACACUCAGCAGAGGAAGUGGCUGUGCGUGGUCCACAAGGUCCCUGGGCGGAUGGGGCCAUAGGAGCUGCCGGGGUGAGGGGCUGUGGGAACAGGGCAGGCCAAGCUUUAUGCUAACAGGGAAGCACUGCCAUUGGUCUGUGUUUUAUUUAUUUAUUUUUAGAGACAGGGUCUUGCUCUGUCUCCCAGGCUGGAGCACAGCUGUGCAAUCAUGGCUCGCUGCAGCCUCAAACCCCUGGGCUCAAGAGAUCCUCUCACCUCAGACUCCAGAGUAGUUAGGGCUACAGGCAGUAGUUAGGGCUACAGACAUCACCAUGUCCAGCUAAUCUGUAAAUUUUUUUGUACAGGUGGGGUUUUGCUAUGUUGUCCAGGCUGGUCUUGAACUCCUGCCCUCAAGUGAUCCUCCCAUCUCAGCCUCCCAAAGCCCUGGGAUAAUGGCGUGAGCCGCCACACCUGGCCGCCUUUGGUCUGUUUGAAGAGGGACAUGGCAUGAUCAGAUGGGGCUUUUAGGCCUCUCUGACCCUGGUGUGGAGGGUGGGCUGGCAAGAAGGGGACGACUGUCUAAAGGAGAGAGUCUAAGACCUGGGCUGGGCAGGGCCAUGGUGACAAACAGGAGCAGACAGAGUCGGGCAGUAUAAAUGGAGGGGCAGGGACAGUGUUGAAGUUUCUAUUCUGAGCAACUAGAAGGCUCGUGGUACAGUUAAUUACCCUGAUGGGGAUGGAAGAGUCAGGCAGGGGAUGGGCAAUGGGCUCUGUUUCCACAGCGACUUGUGUUCCACGGAGGUCAAGAGGCCUGAGGGCCUGCAAGAACAUGGUCUGGGCAGGAGAUGGAGCUGCGGAAUGAAUGAGGAUAGGGGGCUGAGUCCCACAGGGCCAGAGCAUGGCUAGCAAAGUGGGGAUGACUCCAGGAGUGGCCUUCUGGGUGCCACGAAGGAAAUGUUUUAAGAAGUGAGAUUGGGUCACUGCUUUCAAUGUCAUAGAACAGAGCUGAGCAGUUGAGGAGGCGUAGUGGGUAGAAAGGGAGGUCGCAGCAGGCUGAAAGCAAACCGACAGGAGGGUUAGCGUCUUUUAGCAGGUAGGCAGGGCAGAAGAGAGCCACGGGGCAGAUCAGGGAAAGAAACACUGAAGCCAUCUGUGGCUGAGAAGGAGGGCAGUGGGGAGGAGUGUCUAAAAUUCUGAGCCAUCCCUGGCUUUUCUGGGCAGAAGGGGUCGCUCCCUCAGUGGCCCUAUGGCCUCUAACAUGCAUUUUGACCCCUGGAAUCUGCCUUCUCACCCAGUGGGGGCCCUGGAAGCUGGACAACACACAUUCACCCCUGUGUGCCUGUCCCUGAGAGUGGGGGUCAGGGGAGCAUGCCUGGGGUGGCGAGGUGAUUCUGCACUGGGCCGACACUCCCGGCUUUAACUGGAAGGCGAGGACCUUCCAACAGCACAGGCUGACAGGUCUUGUUCCAUGGGGGCUGGGCACCCAAGGUAUCUACUGAUGGUCUGAGGAAUCUACCGGGAUGGAUUCCUGAUUUUUUUUUUUUUUUUUCUGAGACGGAGUUUCGCUCUAGUUGCCCAGGCUGGAGUGCAAUGGCGUGAUCUCAGCUCACCACAACCUCCACCUCUCGGGUUCAAGUGAUUCUCCUGCCUCAGCCUCCUGAGUAGCUGGGAUUACAGGCAUGAGCCACCAUGCUCAGCAGAUUCGUGAUUUUUAAAAUGAAAGGGUGACUCAUGGGAGAAGCCUCUGGAACUGCCUUUGAAAAACAACCAGCCAAGACAUGAGAAAUUAGUUCCUCUGCCAUUUGGGGGUUUCCUGCCAACUGCUGGGUUUUCCUUUUGCACAGCAGGGAGGAAGGACGCCUGUUUCCCUUGGUCCCGGUGAGGCCAGGCCUCAGCUUCCUGCCCACCCGCCACUGCUGCUGGGGCAGGGAGGCAGUUUCCGGCUGUGGGGACCCAGACAAUGCCUGGCCAAGGGCCACCAUCGUCCUCUUCCUGGACACAGCUCCCGCCUCAUCCCAGGGUCUGGCCUGGGACACGCCCUAGAGGCCCUCAGCCCUGAGUCACUGCACCAUGCAGAUCCACCCUGAUUCUGGUCCCUGCAGAGCAGGCUCCUACACAAGGCAAGAAGAUGCUCCAGGGACAAGCCAAGGUGUAUGCAAGGCCCAGGUGCCUGAGAAACACGUCUCACCGACCUUGGGGCAGGGGCUGUUACAAGAGGCUUAUAGUCUAGUGGCAGAGACAAAAACCACACUCAAAUCAUUAGUGUACGGUAUGCACUGCUCAGGGACUCAAAUAUGUGACAGGAGGCUCCAAACAAGAGCGGAGACAAGGCGUAAAUAGCCCCCUGUGGACUGGAUGUUCUGACUCCUGGAUGGCCUCCAGAAGGAUGCCUUUUACGGUCUGUGAAAGAGCUCAGGGACCAAGAUGCUCAAAGCCCUUCAUGCCCAAGAGCCCCUCCUCAGGCUGGGACACGGGAAGCAGAGCUCGGAGGUGGAACUCGUGACUGUGUAUGGGCACAUGUGAGUGCGUGUGUGUGGACAGCCAGGCUUAGUGUAGACAACGUGUGAGGCUCAGACCCCAAGUGCUGACUACACCUAUGCACAUCCACACCUGCGUGUGAAAGAAGAUGCUAGAAAAGAACAAAAAUAACUUAAAAAAUAAAUCCAAUAAGAUGGCUGGAACAUAUAACAACUUCAAAUACUCCAUUUUAGUUCACCAUGUAAGGUGGGUUCCUGGGGGCUGAGGAGACUCGGGAGCUCUGCACCCCUCCUGCUCGCACCCAUCACUAGGUGGCUCACACAGCAGCCGCUCAACAAGUCUGGCUGCUCUCGCAUCAAAACCAAAACCCACUGCCCUCCCCUGCGCCCCCAGCACUGACCCCAACACUUUGGUUCGGGGCCCUCCUGGGCAGGUCACCUGCACUGCCUACUCACUCCUCAGCCCUCCAGGCCCUCCCACCUUGGAUCCUUCCCUGGGACCCUGCUCUGCGCCCUUCUCCCCCUGCCCAGGAACUGAAGGCUGAUGUUGUCACCCCGGUGCUGCGGCCUGUCCGUCUUCAGCACCUGUGCCCCACGCAGGCCCAGCAAACCCCUGGGCUCUGUUGUUCCCCGGGAUGGCUUUUCCAUCUGAUCCCCAGCUUGGGGCUGGCACCGCUUGGCUUUGCCCGGUCACCUCAUGCUUGGGCCAAAGUGCACCAACCCUUCUGUCCCGGGCCUGGCUUUUUGCCUCAAGGCAGCAAUGGCCCCAUGCCACCUCCACGAAGACCCAGUGGCUGCAGAACUCCCUGGUCUGGACUCCCCUGCUCCCUGCAGAGUGCCACCUGCUCCUCUCAAGAAGGCAGAACGUGAGGCCUUUCCUCACCUCCCGUGCAUUGGCACCCCUGCUGGGCCCACUCUGCUCCACCACUGGGGGCUGAUUCACUUUGUGCCACAUAUCUAAAAUAUUUCCUCAAAACAAGCCAAUAACACCCUUUGCGCAUGCCAUGACCUCAUGGAGCGUGGUCACCGGACAUUUCCUCCUGAGCUCUAGGCAGCUGUGGGGGAUGCUGGGUGGCAUAGCCCUUGCAUGUGGCUGACACUUAGCAAUGUUUGUGCCCAUGUUGCACAGGGAGAGCACAAGUCACUGACUCUGCUAGGGCCUGGGGUCAAGGAAAAUAGGCCCUUGGUGGGUGUCAGGAACAGAGUUGAUUCGCUGCAAGGGGCAAAGGAAGUGCACACUUGGGGGAUACUGAGGCAGCCACCGAGGAUGGUGGCUCUGUCAGAGGGAGCUAUGGCUGAGGGCCUGUCAUGGCUUCAGGUGAUAUUUCAGGUGAUUUGGGUGAUGCUGGGACUGGGGACCAUGCGCACAUCCCCUCAGCAAGGGACUAGGUUCACAGAAACAGCACGCGGCCCACCAGCCUGCUCACCUCCAUGAGCUGUCCCCUGUGCCAGACAGACAGCCUAACUCCAAGACCCUGUCUGAGCAGAGAGGGUUCGAGAAAAGACCUUGUCCUUCACCAUCUUUCAUGGGACAAAUGCUUCCAGAAUGAAUGAAUAAAUGAAGGGGAGGGCAAGGGUCUUCCAAGGAAAGGACCUCUGAGUUCAGCCUAGGCGACAGCUACACACUGUCUGCCGGUGGACACCCAACUCUCUAUCUUCCCCGAAAUCUGCUCGGCUAGUUGUGCUACCUCUCUGUGCCUCAGCUUCCUCACCUGUGGAAGGGGGACAGUGCCAGCUAUCUCUCAGAUCGUGGUGGCUGGGGUGCCAUGUGGCUCUGCCACUCCUUGACUGUAAGGCCUCAGGCCAGCCUCUUCAUCUACCCACCUCUGCCUCCUCGUCCAUCACACGGAUCGGAAACAGGACGUACUGCUUAUCAGCUGCUAUGCAAUAAAUUGUGUUCCCUAAAAGGUAUGUUGAAGCCCCAGCCCCCUGUGGCUCAGAAUAUGAUCUUAUUUGGAGUUAAAGUCUUUGCAAAUGUAAUUAGUUAUGUUCACAUGAGGUCACAUUGGCUGGAGUGGCUCAUGCCUGUAAUCCCAGCAUUUAGGGAGGCAAAAACAUGAGGAUCCAUGGAGCCCAGAAAUUCGAGACCAGCCUGGGCAGCAUAGCGAGACCCCAUUCUCCACAAAAAGAAAGAUGAGAUCACACUGUAGGAGGGCAGCCCCUGGUCCAAAAUGCCCAUGUCCUUACAAGAGGAGGAGUCACAGACACACAGCAGGCAGGGUGGGGAGGUGUGAAGGCACAGACACACACAUGGGGAGAUGCCGUGUGCAACAAGGCCAGCUAGGAGGAAUGAGUCUACAAGCCAAGGACCUCCAGGAAGUCAAGGCCAGGCACUAACAGAAAGGCAGACUCUUCCCUGCAGCCUUUGAGAGAGCAUGGCGCAGCUGCCACCUUGAUCUUGGACUCUGGCCUCCAGCCCUGUGAAAGAAUGAGCUUUGGCUGUGUUGAGUGCCCAGUGUGUGGUGCUUUGCCAUAGCAGCCACGGGAGUUCCACAUGGUGCUGCAUAGGGAUCCGGGGCUGCAGAUCCCCGUGUGGGGCUGGACGUGUAGGGGAGCAGCAGCCACAUCCCUUGUCGGCCCUGGUGCCGUGCCCUUACUCCCCG
This 6860-nucleotide long non-coding RNA is filed under the name Homo sapiens (human). RNAcentral describes it as "HSALNT0405068". The record is from RNAcentral. Lineage: Eukaryota; Metazoa; Chordata; Mammalia; Primates; Hominidae.